Molecule: long non-coding RNA, 1360 nt
Organism: Rhineura floridana
Lineage: Eukaryota; Metazoa; Chordata; Lepidosauria; Squamata; Rhineuridae
Exons: 3
Source: RefSeq, a predicted model, not a curated record
GCAGCUGGUUGGUUCACUGCUGUUGCACUCAGCUACCUGGGAAGAACAGGGAAGUCUCUUUCAAGUUCUGUGAAUCUUUUUAGUUCUUAUUUAACAAAUGUCUUUAUAUUGGGAAGAAGAAAGGGUACACCCUUAGACUUGUAGCAGUUACCAUACAUGUUAAGGGAAACUCUCCACUUUUUGAAGAUCCAUUUUUAAAUGUACACUGAGGGAAAAUGCUACAGUGUCAAGAAGAGCUAUUUUUCUUGGUGUCACAGUGACUUAGUCCUUGCCGGAAAGUUACCUAUGUGAUCUCUACCCACCUGGAAGAUGAAAGAUCUGCUGCAAAGAAUGAUAGACAAAAGUGAGUCAUGAGAAAAGAACUCACAGAGGUCUUCAGAGAAUCAACACAGUGAUCAUCUAGGGUCCAAUAUGAUUCCUCCAUACAAAGAUGCCUUAUGAACAGCAUCUAGGGAGUGCGCGUGUUCUUAACUAUGGUGCUACAAUGACCUUAUGCCAGCAUAAGCCGGCCACUGACUUCUUGGGAACAGAGGAUUGCUUGGAUAACUGGAUACUGCAUCUUCUACAUAUUUCAACCACAAGCAGCCCAUUAUUGUGACAAAUGGCAGACUUGCUGAAGCAUUUUGCUGGAUUUUUAAUCACUCCUAUUAGCACAUUUCUUGUAAUCCCAAUAUUUGUUUUUGAUUAGGAUAAUGUGAGAUCACAGAUGUUUGUGUGUAUGCUUCAUCUGAAUACAAGAAACAUUCCACUUGGAGAUGCAGAAAGGCAGCCUUUGUAUUGGGCAGCGUUUCAGAAACUGAGUCAUUUAUUUGCAGAGCUUACCAUAUGUGUUUUUUCUUUGCAUGUUUUGGAAAAAGAAAACAUAUUAAUGAGGCAUUAGCAUAUCUGUGACAACAAAAACAACAAAAGGCAAUCUGUAGCCUUGACAAAUAGCAUGAUGCACCACUUAUUAUUAGUCAAAUGACUGCUAUAAAGAUAAAUUUUGCUUAUCAUAGUUUUGGCCAUGUUUUCUCAGUACAGAAUCAGCCGGUUGACUCUUCCCCACCCCUUUCACUGUGAGCUAUACAGAUCAGCUAAUUUUCUCUAUAAAGCUAACAUCCAUUUUAUUUCCUAUAUUAUAUCAAGACUUCAUAUAGGUCUAAACUAGAAAUCCACCAAGCAUGGAUCCAAGAUUAUACUUAGAUACAGUCUUUUCAGUGGUGGCUUCUUUCGUGUGGAAUUCUUUCUGAAAAAUAUAUAGACGGCUCCAUCAGUUAUGGUUUUAAGUUUUAAAUUUUUUAAAAUCUGUUUUCCAUGGAUUUUAAUUGCUGAUUUUAUUGUAUAUUCUUCUGUUGGAAUUUUUAUGACAUUUAAAAAUAUA